Non-coding RNA from Anopheles epiroticus, 143 nucleotides. NCBI's taxonomy places the organism in Eukaryota, Metazoa, Arthropoda, Insecta, Diptera, Culicidae. The record is from Rfam.
CAAAUAUAGGGUUCUGUGAAAGGGUUGGAUCCGACGCCUCUAGAAGGCUACUAUAGGCUCUCCUUCUCAACUCCUACUCAAUACGUCCACGACGUGCAGAACGGUAACUUGUCGCUCAGAUCCAAGCUUGGGUACACGGGGAA